RNA transcript from Lathyrus oleraceus (garden pea), 920 nucleotides. It is a transcript of the gene named ribulose-1,5 bisphosphate carboxylase/oxygenase large subunit N-methyltransferase, chloroplastic-like, with no coding region annotated. The transcript is spliced from 8 exons. The record is from RefSeq and is a predicted model, not a curated record. Lineage: Eukaryota; Viridiplantae; Streptophyta; Magnoliopsida; Fabales; Fabaceae.
GCUAUAAAAUUAUUACUUAAAUUAAAAAAAAAAUCCCAUAAACUUUCACCUUUCUUCUAUCAAAGUAGUCCCAAACCAAGAGUUGAAGAGGUAACUAUGGCGAACCCAGAAGCAAAGCUCGAAACUUUCUUGCAGUGGCUCCAGGUUUGUUAACAUGAUUUGUAAUUGACGGCAGAAGUGAAUAAACAUAUUAAGCUUUGAUUCCUAUGGUGAAUUUUCAAAAUGGGAUUAUGUUGGUUGUUCCACUAGAGUUAGCAAUUACUCCCAUGAGGGUGUUGCAAGAUCCUUUUCUAGGACCAGAAUGUAGAGCAUUGUUUGAAGAAGGAGAUGUAGAUGACAGGUUCUUAAUGAUGCUGUUUUUGACCGUGGAGCGUUUGCGUAAGGGUUCUCUAUGGAAGCCGUACCUUGAUAUGCUGCCAACCACUUUCGGAAAUACACUUUGGUUUAGUGAAGAAGAACUUCAAGAGCUGAGAGGAACUAACUUGUAUCGUGCAACUGAGUUACAGAAGAAAAGCCUGUUGAAUUUAUAUGAAACUAAAGUGGAGGAUUUAGCGAAGAAACUUUUGAAUCUUGACGGAGAUUCUGAGAUUGAGGUGUGCUUUGAAGAUUUCCUGUGGGCAAAUUCAGUUUUUUGGAGCCGUGCUUUGAAUAUUCCAAUGCCUCGUUCUUAUGUAUUUCCUGAGAUGCAAGAUGUUCAUCAAAGUGGCACUCCAGAAGCUGAUAAAAAGGUGAGGUUACACAAUCGGAUGAUCUAACCAAGGAAACGACACAUAGCACAGUGCACGGAGACACCGUUUGGGUUGAGGGUCUUGUCCCUGGUAUUGACUUUUGCAACCAUGAUUUGAAGCCAAUAGCAACAUGGGAAGUUGAUGGAAUUGGCUUAACAACAGGAGUUCCAGUCUCGAUGUAUCUUCUUUCCG